Molecule: ribosomal RNA, 465 nt
Filed under: Vreelandella stevensii
Lineage: Bacteria; Pseudomonadati; Pseudomonadota; Gammaproteobacteria; Oceanospirillales; Halomonadaceae
Description: partial 16S ribosomal RNA
Rfam family: Bacterial small subunit ribosomal RNA
Source: RNAcentral
CCUACGGGAGGCUGCAGUGGGGAAUAUUGGACAAUGGGGGGAACCCUGAUCCAGCCAUGCCGCGUGUGUGAAGAAGGCCCUCGGGUUGUAAAGCACUUUCAGUGAGGAAGAACGCCUGGUGGUUAAUACCCAUCAGGAAAGACAUCACUCACAGAAGAAGCACCGGCUAACUCCGUGCCAGCAGCCGCGGUAAUACGGAGGGUGUGAGCGUUAAUCGGAAUUACUGGGCGUAAAGCGCGCGUAGGUGGCUUGAUAAGCCGGUUGUGAAAGCCCCGGGCUCAACCUGGGAACGGCAUCCGGAACUGUCAAGCUAGAGUGCAGGAGAGGAAGGUAGAAUUCCCGGUGUAGCGGUGAAAUGCGUAGAGAUCGGGAGGAAUACCAGUGGCGAAGGCGGCCUUCUGGACUGACACUGACACUGAGGUGCGAAAGCGUGGGUAGCAAACAGGAUUAGAUACCCCUGUAGUC